UUAAAGUUUAAUUUUAGUUUAAAUAUUUGAUUUAUUGUUAAUUUAUAUGUAAAAUUUAUUAAAAAUUUGUUUUUCAGUAUUUACUUUUAUUUAUUUAUUAAUUUAAUUUUAGUAAUUAAUAUAAAAAUCUAAUAAAAUUUGUGCCAGCAAUUGCGGUUAGACAAAUGGGUUAAUUAAAUAUUUUUAGUUAUAAUAAAUUAUCUAUAGUUUAAAUUAAAAUUUUAAGGUGAAAUUUAAAUUUUAUAUUUUAUUAAGGUAAUGAUUUAAUAAAUUUGUAUUAUAGACUAGGAUUAGAUACCCUAUUAUUACAAUUAUAAAUUAAUUUCUUAGUUAGUAUUAGUUAUUUUCUUGAAAGUUAAAAAAUUUGGCUGUAUUUUAGUCAGUUUAGAGGAACCUGUCCUAUAAUUGAUGAUCCACGAUAUGUUUUACUUAUUUUUUACUUGUAUAUCGUUGUUAAUGAAUUUCUUUUUAGGGAUAAUUUUCUUUUAUUUUUAUUAGAGUGGAUUUCAGAUCAAGGUGCAGUUUAUAUAUAAGUAGAGAUGGGUUACAAUAAAUUAAUUUUUGGUUAUUAGAUUUAGAUUUUUUAUAUAAAUUGGAUUUAAUAGUAAUUUCAUUUAAUUAAAUGAAAUGAUUAUUGCUCUAAGGUAUGUACAUAUUGCCCGUCGCUCUCAAUCUAAUUUAAGAUAAGUCGUAACAUAGUAGAUGUACUGGAAAGUGUAUCUAGCAUA
This 728-nucleotide non-coding RNA is filed under the name Diaphanes nubilus. The record is from RNAcentral. Lineage: Eukaryota; Metazoa; Arthropoda; Insecta; Coleoptera; Lampyridae.